Molecule: ribosomal RNA, 414 nt
Filed under: Spalerosophis diadema
Lineage: Eukaryota; Metazoa; Chordata; Lepidosauria; Squamata; Colubridae
Description: partial large subunit ribosomal RNA
Rfam family: Bacterial large subunit ribosomal RNA
Source: RNAcentral
GAAAGGCAAAAUGAGGGUCUGACUGUCUCUUAUAAUAAAUCAAUGAAACUGAUCUUCUAGUAAAAAAGCUAGAAUAUACCCAUAAGACCAGAAGACCCUGUGAAGCUUAAACUAAACUAUUAAAACACAUAAUAACUAAUUUCGGUUGGGGCGACCUUGGAAAAAAAAAGAACUUCCAAACACUGAAUCUUACUUCAUCAACACAGGCCUACAAGCCAACAAACGACCCAGCAAAGCUGAAAAUUGAACAAAGUUACUCCAGGGAUAACAGCGCAAUCUUCCUCAAGAGCCCAUAUCAAAAGGAAGGUUUACGACCUCGAUGUUGGAUCAGGACAUCCUAACGGUGCAGCCGCUGUCAAGGGUUCGUUUGUUCAACGAUUAAAGUCCUACGUGAUCUGAGUUCAAAUCGACACA